AUAAGGAAGUAAAAGCGGCUCCUCUGGUGAUAGCCUGUUUGCUAAGUUUCCUCUCUAUCAGCUGCACAACAAGUAACAAGGAGAACUGGUCUUGUUUAAAGUCAAAGAAGCUCUUCAGGAGAGUUUGUGUCCAACAAGCAGUUUUCAGAAACAAGGUUACACAGGCAGGUUUUUGUGAGUGAGCUAAAGGCUAAGAAACUGGAGCCACAUUCAGAAGCAGAAUUUGCGUAGGAGCCAUCUUGCUCACCUGGAAUCACUUGAUGUGCCUGACAACUACAACAGAGACUUGUUAACUUGACCCAAACCUGAAAAACCAUCUGCCAGGAGCAUCACCAUCAUCACUACCAUCUGACAUCGAAUGCCUUGCUCCAGCCAUCGCUGUGGAGAGGGCCCGCGUCAUGGCGGAUGGAAAUGAUGGCGGGGGAUCCGGGGAUGAUGAAGGCUUCGG
Molecule: non-coding RNA, 448 nt
Organism: Paralichthys olivaceus (Japanese flounder)
Lineage: Eukaryota; Metazoa; Chordata; Actinopteri; Pleuronectiformes; Paralichthyidae
Source: RefSeq, a predicted model, not a curated record